Molecule: long non-coding RNA, 8570 nt
Organism: Felis catus (domestic cat)
Lineage: Eukaryota; Metazoa; Chordata; Mammalia; Carnivora; Felidae
Exons: 3
Source: RefSeq, a predicted model, not a curated record
UAUUAGGUAGUUUACAAUCUUAAAAAUUUAGGGUUUAUCUUAGAUAUUCUUAUGCUAUGAAGUAAGCUUAUAUAAGUAUUGUGAUAAUUCUACCAGAGUUCACUUGACUGUCCAGAGUCCAUCUAAUCAAUCAUGUGUUUCAUGAGCCAGAUAGUCUCUAGGUAAAACACUCUAUGGGUGUGUCAUAAACUACAAUUACUGAAACAGGUAAUUCAGUUUUUAAAGAAAUUAACCUGAUAUGUAAAAGCCUUAGCAAAAUAGGACAGUAAGAAGUCAUCUCCAAUCAGUCUAAGAAACAACUCAGCCCAAGAGCUUCUUACAGACCUUGUAUUCCAGUAAAUAAGAAAGAAACACAAAAUACCAAGGAAGUUUGCCCUUUACAUCAAGGAGAGAAAAACAGGCCUUUCCUGAAUGAUUGAGAACAAAUUCAACAAAGAAAUGGUAACUGAUGCAUGGAGAACACCUUUGUAAAAGUUCUACAAGACUGUAUUUAACAUAACUUGUUCCAUCUAGCACCUAAUCUUAGUUUCUCCUAUAAAAUGACGCAGGGCUCCUUGGAAAACUGACUAAUUCUAGAGUUGGGGCAGGAAAAGUACAAGUUGACUCUGGCCAUCAUGUAAUGACAGAAAAUGAAAAAGUGCUAAAAAAUUAAAAGCACGACUAUGGAUACAUGUCAAAAGGAUAUAAGGCUUUGAAAGGGGGAAAAAGCAGUGAAAUAAAGGGAAAGGGAGUUUACAAACUGGUUUGAGAUGAGGAAGCCAGUUUCUCUGAGAAGAAGGAUUUGUUAUCUGAUGAGUGCUGAGUCCUAUCUGAGAAAGCCACACAAUGAAACACUCUCAGGGUAAAUAAGCAACACUUAAGGACACCAUAUGGGCUUUUUAUGCCAAAAACUAAAAUCAACUUCUUGGGUGACGAUGAAUGAACUGAGAGUGGAGGUUCUAUACUACUUAGAAAGAUGAAGGAAAAAGAUUAAAAUCAAAACAAAAUAAAAGGUAAGCAAUAAUUGAUAGAUAAUGGGCAAGUUUAAUGGCGAACUGUACUUAAAGUUAUCAAGAACCAGUACCUGAAAUUUAUUGCAAAGAGAUUUGUAAUUUUUGUUAAGAAUUCCAGUAAACCCUAGACUUCUGGGUAAUGUGAAUCAUUGAGAAGGAAUCUGCUAUUUUCAGGCCAAAAUUUGAUCUUUUAAUGAUGUAAUAAGGUCAACAGAUCAUGAAGUCUCCAUUAACUUACCUUAUAUUGAACUCUUUAAUGGCUUUGAAAUGUAUGAAUUAGGCUCUGUCAAAGAUUGGAUGAAGAUUAUUACAGUUUUGAUUGCCCUACCCUUUCAUUAAGCAUUUAAGGUAUAUCUGUACACUGCUUUCACGAUUCUCACCUUUCUUCCCAACAAUCCAUUAUCCCUCUACACUCCCUCCCCUAAUAGAAUGACUUGCAUUCUCUUCACAUACAGAAACAUCAGUAUCUAUUCCUGAAUAAUCACAGGCAAUACAUUCAAAUAAUUGUCUAGUUGAGAAAAUCCCCUUUUAAUAAUCUAAGGAUGACUAUUUCAGUUGUCUUCUAAUAAAACUGAACUAAAUCUCUGCUAAUGGAAGGUUGCUUUCAGUACUAAGACUAAUUCUUUCCAGAUCAAUUCCACUAGAUAUUUUGUGCAAAAAUGAUUUGAUGGCCAAAUAGAUCUAGGGGGAAAAAAUCAUUCCAUACACUUCCAUUGAUAGGCCCUAAGGCACUAUAGUAUAUUAGAAGCUUUGAAAAAUUCUCAGGAAAGACAUAGUUAUGGUUUUGUUCAAUCCAGUGUUUCUUGCACUUGUUUCACUGGGGAACUAUUUCCCUGCUCCCACUUCCCACACCAUUUUAGCAGCAGACAUGUUUUGAAGUUUCUUGCUCUAGGACUUUAUUUUUCCAUGUUGUUAUUUUUUGUUGUGAUAAUUUUUAUUUUUCAGUUUGUAUUUUCUGUUCAUGAUGAAUGGCUUAGAUCUAAUAUUCUGCCUUUCAAAGGGAAUCAAUUGUCAACAUGGCUGAGCUUUGUAUGUUCUUUUGACUUGGUACUAACAAAGAGUUUUUGCUUAAUAAGGCAUAUUCUUCAUCACUUCUUACUCUAUCUGAGCCAAUGCUCUUAUUUUAUGUAAAUUACCAAACACUUCUUUUAGAUUGAUAUGAUUGUGUCUGUUUUUAGAGACAGAGAAAACAUUAUCUGGGUCAUAAGGAUUGAAUCACAAUCUCCUCUAAGCUCCAACUCAGUGUGAGAUAUUGUUAAUACUUAACAUUUCUACCAUUUAAAAAAAGUUUCUAAGUCACCAUUACCAAUUUUUAUUCAAUAAAUUCAUUCAGACAACAAAAAAAUUAAUAAGCUUCUAAGGUGUACCAAAUAUUCCUUUACUACUCAAACAUUUAUGAAACAUUUGCCAUACUGCAGCCACUGUGCAAGGUGCUGGGGAUAACACAGUAAAACAAACAUAUAAGGCCCAUAUCAUUACCAUUUAACAUGGAAGAUAAACAGUAAUUAUAAAAAAGUAAACUAUUAUGAGGAAGUAGAGAGGGCUACAGGCCAUAUAAUGAGUAGAUCUACUAUGGCGGCAAGAAUCAUAGGCUUCUUGGAAGAAAUGAUGUUUAAGUUGAGAGUGUCACUCAUUUAACAAAUAUUUAUUAAGUACUUACUCUGGUACCAUGCUAGAAUUUGAGAUGCAAUAUUGAAGUAACCACUGUCUUAACGGAGCUUAAAACUUUGUGAGGAAGACAUAACAUGUAAGCAAAUAAAUUACAAGUUGGCAACUAUAAGAAAUGAUAGGUAGUGAAUAAACAAAUUACAAGGAAAUCUAGAUCUGCUAAAGGAGGUCAGAAGAGUAUUCUCAAAAGAGCAAAAUCCAAGCAGUGAACUGAGGAAUAAAUAUCUAAACAUUUUUAUGUUUGGAGAAGGGAAGUUCCUGGCAUAGGAGUAGCAAAGGCAAAGACCCUGAGGCAGGGAAUACAUGGGUCUGCUCCAGGAACUGAGAAAACAUGAGCAUCAUUAGUCUAGUGAGCAAGUGAUGGAAAGAGUGGAAUUGGAUGAAACUGGAGAGGUUAUAUCCCUACAAAGAGCAUGGUUAAAAAAUGCAUAUUUUAUUCUAAUUGGGGAACUACUGGUAGGCCUUAACAGGAGUGACAUAAUAUGACUUGGGUUUUAAGAAGGUAACUUCAGUUUUUGCAUGGAGAAUGGAGAGGAGGGAGCCAAGAGGAGAAUAGGAAGGCCAAUAUGGGGGAUGUUAAAGAAAUCAAGGAAAGACCAUAGAAAAUGAGAUGGAGAGAAUUAGAUGAAUUUGAAAUACCUUUGGCAUUAGAAAGAAAUUUAUAGGGUUCUGCUUUAGUAAUUGGGUGGAUGAUGAUUUCAUUUGUUGAGUGAAGAAAGUCAGGGAUAUCAGGUUUUCUGGAAAAGAGAACUAAAUAACUGUUUUUGACCAUGUUAACUUUGAGUAUGUCUAAAACAUCCAAGUGCAGAUGACAUGUAAGAUGCUAUACUUUUAACUUUGGAUCUUAGAAUAGAUACUUAUGGAUGAAGAUCCUCAUCUGGUACUUUAAGUCGUGAACAUUGCUGAAAUCACCUAUGAGAAACCAUAAUAAGAGAAGAAAAUGGGACCAAGCACUCAGUCCUGGAAAAUUCCAGCAAAUAGAUUUUGGGGUAAAGACAGAACCAGAAAAAGAAGUCAAGAGAAAUGGCCCAUGAGGUAGGAGGAAAAAAGGGUCUAUUUUUUUUUCAGAAAAAAAGAUAAAGAUGUUUAAUAAAAUUGCAUAUUUUAUUAAAUAUUUCUAGGAGAUCAUGAUGAGGGCAGAAAAGUUUCCAUUUGAUUUGGUCACAUGGAGGUCUUUGCUUAUCAUGACAGAGGUACAUAUCUGAAAAAAAAUGUAUGAACAGUAGAGGUGAAAAGAAGAGCAAGAAAACAUUACAAUCAAGAGAAAUACCAUAUAUGAAAGUGUUACAUGGGAGAAGAAGAGGACAAGGACCAGAAAUCUUGUAUGGUUGAAACAUGGGCACAAAAAAGAGCAACAGGACAGAUAGGAGGCUAGAGAGGAAGAAAGAAAUUUUAUUAGGUACUGAAGAUAUAAAUGUCAGGAGAGUACAGGCUUUGUUAGUAUAAAUGACACUAACAAAGAAUUAAAAAUUCACCACGUAGAACUGUGGUUGUAGAGGAAUCAGGGAGGCUAUUGCAGAGAAAAGUUAUGCAUAUACAAAAGGCCAAAGCUAAGGAGUAGUAUGCUACCCUUGGAACGAUGAAAUACUUAGCCACGCUGAAGUAGAAGUUUUCACAGCAUUUAGGGGGAAAUAGUUAGGGAUCAAUCACGAGGGGCUGUGUAUGGCAUGCUGAAAGUUGGGCUUUGUCCUGCAGACAGUGGGAAGACUGAGGAAUUCUAAGUUGAUAAAUAUGAUUUACGAUGAUUCAUGCUUUGAAAAAGUAACUCUGGUAACAGUAUGGAAAAGAAUUGGUGAAGAUGACUUGAAGUAAUGGACCCAAAUUAGGAGACUACUGUAAUAGCACAGGGAAGAAAUGUUGUGAGGAGGGAAAAGACAAGUUCUCAAGAUUUUAAAGAGGUGGAAAUGAAAGAAUUUAAUGACAUUUGGAGGUAAGGGACUUUGGAGAGAGACACUUAAGAUUGUUCCCAGGUCUCAGGCUUGGGUGAUAAGAGAUCUUGAUGUCACUUUACCAAAAUAGGAAAUAAAUCUAUAAAGUAGCAAGUAAAUAAAAUAAAGCAUUCCAUGAGGUCAAAGAGCAGAUAUAAUAGGAGAUUAAGUGAUGGCAGUAUAAAUGUUUGUAGUCUGAAAGUAGGAUAAUGGAAUUUGGAGUUUUAAAGUGGGAGCUUCCAUAAGGAAUAAAAUGGAUCAAGAUACAUUACAGAACAAUAAAAAGGCAGAAAAAUUAAAUGUGCCAAAUAUAAGAUUAGAAUAAAAGAAUUAUGAGAUGUCAAAUGGCUCUAAACAUAUGUUCAAGAUGGUUGAUAAUUUGACUUGAAGCUUUCCAGAGGAUAGACUGAAUCAGUACAAUGUUCAUAGUGUCUAUUCCAAAAAGCUGUUCCUCAAAAGUCUGGCUUUCCAUCAUUAUAGGACAUGAAAAAUUUUUCCCCCAUGAGUUCUUAAAAGAGGACAAUGACUUUGGCUUUUAAACUGGAUUGUGCUUACCUCUGAGAGUUAUGCUAAGGGCUUGGUGGUACUUAAAUCCUAGGAUAAACAGUUUGUCUCCGUGGAAUUUUAACUUUAUUUGAAAAUUUAAAUGAGAAUAAGAAUCAUUAUUUGUAAAAUCCACACUUAUAUGUAUAUAAUGGCAAAAUAAAACUCAGUGAGCUUUUAAGAUAAAAUGAGUCUACAAUUAGUUUCUACACUUAACAUUAUAUUCCAGAAACUGAGAGACAUUAGUGUAUUCUCAUCUACCUUUUGAACGUUAUACAGACUCAGUGCUUACCAAUUUUUUCAUUAAUUUAAAUACUAGAUAGGUAAGAAUAUAAUAGUAACUAUAAUAAUGACUUUUAUAUAGAUUUUGUUCUGUCAAUGGAAGCUGGUGAUCUAACGUUAAUAAAAGUAAUGCUCUAGGGGCCAAAACAAUGCAGAAUGCUACUCAGCUCUCUUUUGGUCUGACCUGAUCCAAGAAUAAAUUAUACUAAGGGUUGAAAUGAUACAUUUCACAUAGUCCUUCAAGACUAUUAUUUAUUUUAACACAGUUUUUAUAAAUAUUAGAUGGCAGAGAGAUCAAGAUAGCAUUAUUUGCUAGGUAUCUGGAGUGUAAUUAUCUUAUACAGCUAGUUACACUUGAUUUAUAUUCACUAAUGAUCAAAAUUUUAGAUAGAAAUUUAGGUUAGCAGAAUCUAACACAUAAAGAACAUGUGACUGAAAAGAAGGACAUAUUAGUUCUUCAAGGAGAUGAACUGAGGCAUAACAGAAAGCUCAAUUUAGUGUAAAUGAUUCAGUAGGUAACCAUGAACAGAGAUGAGCUAUCCCUGGAAAACAAGUUUGCAACCAUUCCAAUUUAUAAAUAAAUGGAUAAUCAAGUUUCCAAAGGAUAUAUAUCAAGAGCAUGGCUAUGAUAAUUCUAAAAUGGAAAAAUAAUUUAAAUAAGUGCUACUAAAUACCUGUUGUAGACAUGAAAAAAAUACCAAAGUGUUUCUAAUGGUUAUUUAUAUUUGGAUCAAGUGACUUCCUUCAUGACCCUCUAAUGUAAACUGAUUGCACAAGGUAUUUGUAAAUAAUGAGCAAGCUGGCAUGCCGAAUACAGUAGUUACAAAACCUGACUUUGCCUUGGCAUCACUUGAGAAGAUUUUCUAUAUCACAAAUCCUCAGGUCCUACUCCAACACAUCCACUAACUGAGAAUCUCUGUAGAUGGGUUCAAGGAAACCGUAUGGCUAAAAUGCUUCCUAAGCAAUUCUGACACAUCAAAAUUUGGAGAACACUACAAGCCUGUUCACUACAAACUGGAUGAAGACUAGAUGUUCAUUACUAAAAAUGAUUACUCUCUUGCAAUGGUUGAUGAUUAGCCAUUCUAUCUGACAUUAAUUAGAUAGUACUUCUAACACCGUUCCUAAUUUGUGACAGUAAAACAGUGUUCCCAAAAUACACAAAAGAGAUUGUUUUUAUAUUCUUUCUAGCUGGAGAGCCAGUGGGUAUCUAUGCCAAACUACUCAAAAAGAAUAUCAAGUUAUUAAGUAACUAGUUGAAUAGGAAGGAUUCCAAUACACAUCUCUGUUUUACAUGCAGGAAAUUAUUAUCUGACUCAUCAGGAGACUAUUUCUGAGUGAGUGAAGGUUAUAUCAAAGCUGCCAGCCUAUAACAUAUUCAUUUUAUUAGACGUAUAGCUGAUUCAUGGAUUUGGAGUCAAAGGUUAUGAAAGAUCCAUAAAAGCUACAUGCAAUCCUAUGUUGUUCCUGACAAAUUUGUCCCAGAGAUGAUAAAAAUAAUAAUAGAGCCCAAAUCAUCAUCUGCCCCUUUCAUAAAACACUGUUCUCAAUAGCUUCAGCUUAACUGUAAGCCUAAAAACCUGAAAUUCAGACAGUAAAAGUUACCCACUCUUUUUGUUUGUUUUAUUAUAAAGACACUCUAUAUUAAAAGGAAGACAAUAACAGAGCCCAGAGUGGUUAAUAAACUGACAUGGGAUUUAAAUAUAAAACAUAAUAUUUUUUUUCAUUCCUAAACCUGUGGAAGUAAAGGUACAGCUGACAGGAACAUAGGAGGCAUAAUGGAAGAUGACGUGGAGAAAACAAAGGGACACUAAAAAUCUCAUCAAAUAGGGCGUGAGUGGUCAACAGAUGCUGUCUGCAACUUUAUGGAACAAGAAACAGUUUUUUAUUCAAGACUAUUUUUUAGAGCAGUUUCAGCAUUAAACUAAAUGGGAGGAUACAGAGAUAUGCUCCUUACCCCUACACAAACAUGACCUCCUCCAUUAUCAACAUCCCCUACCAGAGCAGUACAUUUGUUAUAACUGAUGAACCUACAUUGACACAUCAUUAUCGCUCAAAGCCCAUAGUUUACAUUAAGGUUCACUCUUGGUAUUGUACAUUCUAUGAGUUUGGAUAAAUAUACAAUAUAAUGACAUAUAUCCAUCAUUAUAGUCUCAUACAAAGUAUUCUCACUGUCCUGAAAUUCUUUGGUCCUCUGUGUAUCAUCCCUCUGCCCCAUAUCCCCCAACCCCUGACAAUCACUGAUCUUUUCACUGACUCCAUAGUUUUGCCUUUUCCAUAAUUUUGGGAUCACACAAAUGUAGCUUUUUCAGAUGGCUUCUUUCACUUAGCAAUGUGCAUUUAAGAUUCUUCCAUGUUGUUUCAUGGCUUGAAAACUCAUUUCUUUUUAGUACUGAACAACAUUCUAUUGUAUGGAUGUACUACAGUUUAUUUAUCCAUUCACCUAAUGAAGGACAUCUUGGUUGCUUCCAGCUUUUGGCAAUUUGAAUAAAGCUGCUAUAAUCAUUUGUUUGCAGGUUUUUUAGUGAACAUAAGUUUUCAACUCCUUUGAGUAAAUACCAAGGUAUGUGAUUACUGGUAAUAUGGACAGAGUAUAUUUAGUAUUGUAAGAAAUUGCCACUCUUUCAAAGAGGCUGAACCAUUUUACAUUCCCACCACCAAUAAAUGAGAGUUCAUGUUGCUCCAUAUUCUCACCUGCACUUAUUGUUGACAGUGUUCCAGAUUUAGCUAUUCUGAUAGGUGUGCAGUGGUAUCUCAUUGUUUGAAUUUGCAUUUCAGGAGUUUUGUGGAAGUUUUUUAGUUUUGGGUUUUAUAUUUAGGUCUGUGAUCCAUUCUGAGUUAAUUGUUGUGAAGGGUUGUUAAGAUCUAUGUCUAGAUUCAUUUUUUUGCAUGUAGAUGUCAGUUGUUCCAGUACCAUUUAUUGAAAAGACUAUCUUUCCCCCCAUAGUAUUGCCCUUCCUCCUUUUUGAGCUAAUGCUGAAGUUUCUAUAGGGAGGCAAAAGACCCAGAAUAACCAACCCAAUAUUAAAGGAGAAGAACAAAGAUGGAGGACUGUCACUCCUCAACUUCAAACUUAUUACCCAAUUUCAAGACUUAUUAUAAAGCUAAGUAUUCAAGACAGUGUGGUAUUGGCAAAUAAAUAAAUAAAUAAAUAAAUAAA